UUUUGGUGACGUUGCAAUUGAAGUGAAAUAUGGAUCGUUGGCGUCGAAAUGGCUUCAACAAGCCAGAACAAGGUUGUUGAGAAGGACCAAGAGCAGAGAGACUAUGCCUCAUGAAGCUCAAAUCGAGGACGAUAGCAGUUCAAAGUAAAAAUAUAUAAUUAGUUAUAAAUUAAAAGUUCAAUUUUUGUAAUAUUUAAUAAAAAUCAUUGCAUUUUAUUGAAAA
This is a long non-coding RNA of Nilaparvata lugens (brown planthopper), 223 nucleotides long. RefSeq lists it as uncharacterized. NCBI's taxonomy places the organism in Eukaryota, Metazoa, Arthropoda, Insecta, Hemiptera, Delphacidae. The transcript has 2 exons. The record is from RefSeq and is a predicted model, not a curated record.